This 253-nucleotide ribosomal RNA is filed under the name uncultured Christensenellaceae bacterium. RNAcentral's name for it is "partial 16S ribosomal RNA". It matches the Rfam family "Bacterial small subunit ribosomal RNA", at positions 524 to 776 of the family's 1533-position model. Lineage: Bacteria; Bacillati; Bacillota; Clostridia; Christensenellales; Christensenellaceae. The record is from RNAcentral.
UACGUAGGGAGCAAGCGUUGUCCGGAAUUACUGGGCGUAAAGGGUGCGUAGGCGGCGCAGUUAGUCAGAAGUGAAAUAUCGGGGCUUAACCCCGGGGCUGCUUCUGAUACUGCCGUGCUCGAGUGCAGGAGAGGUAAGUGGAAUUCCUAGUGUAGCGGUGAAAUGCGUAGAUAUUAGGAGGAACACCAGUGGCGAAGGCGACUUUCUGGACCGUAACUGACGUUGAGGCACGAAAGUGUGGGGAGCAAACAGG